This 530-nucleotide ribosomal RNA is filed under the name Flavobacteriaceae bacterium AU443_Ted1_MB20SE. Its description in RNAcentral is "bacterial SSU rRNA". It matches the Rfam family "Bacterial small subunit ribosomal RNA", at positions 60 to 585 of the family's 1533-position model. Lineage: Bacteria; Pseudomonadati; Bacteroidota; Flavobacteriia; Flavobacteriales; Flavobacteriaceae. The record is from RNAcentral.
AGUCGAGGGGUAACGGGGAAGCUUGCUUCCGCCGACGACCGGCGCACGGGUGCGGAACGCGUAUGGAACCUGCCCCUGUCAGGGGAAUAGCCCAGAGAAAUUUGGAUUAAUGCCCCAUGGUAUCCAUUUACCACAUGGUAUAUGGAUUAAAGAUUUAUCGGACAGGGAUGGCCAUGCGUACCAUUAGUCAGAUGGUGGGGUAACGGCUCACCAUAACUACGAUGGUUAGGGGCCCUGAGAGGGGGAUCCCCCACACUGGUACUGAGACACGGACCAGACUCCUACGGGAGGCAGCAGUGAGGAAUAUUGGACAAUGGGCGGGAGCCUGAUCCAGCCAUGCCGCGUGCAGGAUGACUGCCCUAUGGGUUGUAAACUGCUUUUAUACGGGAAGAAACCCGCCUACGUGUAGGCGGCUGACGGUACCGUAAGAAUAAGGACCGGCUAACUCCGUGCCAGCAGCCGCGGUAAUACGGAGGGUCCGAGCGUUAUCCGGAAUCAUUGGGUUUAAAGGGUCCGUAGGCGGGCCAUUA